RNAcentral lists this ribosomal RNA (251 nucleotides) under uncultured prokaryote. RNAcentral's name for it is "partial 16S rRNA". It matches the Rfam family "Bacterial small subunit ribosomal RNA", at positions 525 to 775 of the family's 1533-position model. The record is from RNAcentral.
ACGGAGGAUCCGAGCGUUAUCCGGAUUUAUUGGGUUUAAAGGGUGCGUAGGCGGAAAAAUAAGUCAGUUGUGAAAGUUUGCGGCUCAACCGUAAAAUUGCAGUUGAUACUGUUUUUCUUGAGUGUACAUAAGGUAGGCGGAAUUCGUGGUGUAGCGGUUAAAUGCUUAGAUAUCACGCAGAACUCCAAUUGCGAAGGUAGCAUACCGGGUUACAACUGACGCUGAGGCACGUAAGUGUCGGUAUAGAUCAG